This 332-nucleotide ribosomal RNA is filed under the name Kumbadjena sp. DNA103737. Its description in RNAcentral is "partial 12S ribosomal RNA". The record is from RNAcentral. Lineage: Eukaryota; Metazoa; Onychophora; Udeonychophora; Euonychophora; Peripatopsidae.
CCUUGAAAUUUUAUAAUUCUAAAGUAGUAAGAUUGAAACUUAAAAAUUUUGACAGUAUUUAAUUUUCUAAAGGAAUAUGUAAUUUUAUCGAAAAUACACGAAAAUCUUACUUAUUUUAUUUUUGUAUAUCUCCGUUGACAGAUUUUUAUAAAAAUAAAAAUAAUUUUCUAAAAAUAAAAUAUUUAACAUCAGGUCAAGGUGCAAUAUAAAUAAGUUAUUAUGUAUUACAAUCAAAUUUAUUGAAAUGAAUAAAUAAUUGAAAUCAUUAUUUUAAAAAUGAAUUUAUAAGUAAAAUAAAAAAUUAAUUUUAUUUGAAAUAUUAUUGAAUAUGU